AGAGUUUGAUCAUGGCUCAGAUUGAACGCUGGCGGCAUGGCUAAGACAUGCAAGUCGAGCGCGAAAGUCCCUUCGGGGGCGAGUAGAGCGGCGAAAGGGCGAGGAAUGCAUUCCUACGUACCCCGAGGUCGGGGAUAGCCCGGGGAAACCCGGAGUAAUACCCGAUGUGGUCUACGGAUCAAAGGUUUACUGCCUUGGGAGCGGGGAAUGUCUUAUCAGGUUGUUGGUGAGGUAACGGCUCACCAAGCCUAAGACGGGUAGCGGGUGUGAGAGCAUGACCCGCCGCAUCGGGACUGAGACACUGCCCGGACUCCUACGGGAGGCUGCAGUAACGAAUAUUCCGCAAUGCGCGAAAGCGUGACGGAGCAAUGCCGCGUGCAGGAUGAAGCCCCUCGGGGUGUAAACUGCUGUCAGGGUACAGGAACUCAAUGACCAUACCCAAAGGAAGGGCCGGCUAACUUCGUGCCAGCAGCCGCGGUAAUACGAAGGGCCCGAGCGUUAAUCAGAAUCACUGGGCUUAAAGCGUACGUAGGCGGACGCGAAGGCAUCUUGUGAAAUCCCUCGGCUCAACCGAGGAACUGCAGGGUGAACCGUGUGUCUUGAGACAAGUAGGGGCUGCCGGAACGCUAGGUGGAGUGGUGAAAUGCGUUGAUAUCUAGCGGAACGCCGAACGAGAAAUCAGGCAGCUGGGCUUGUUCUGACGCUGAGGUACGAAAGCGUGGGGAGCGAACGGGAUUAGAUACCCCGGUAGUCCACGCCGUAAACGAUGUGCACUAGAUCGAGGGGGUUCUGACACCACUCUCGGUCGAAGCGAAAGUGUUAAGUGCACCGCCUGGGGAGUACGGUCGCAAGGCUAAACUCAAAUGAAUUGACGG
This 875-nucleotide ribosomal RNA is filed under the name uncultured bacterium. RNAcentral's name for it is "bacterial SSU rRNA". It matches the Rfam family "Bacterial small subunit ribosomal RNA", at positions 8 to 916 of the family's 1533-position model. The record is from RNAcentral.